GAUGAACGCUGGCGGCAUGCCUAAUACAUGCAAGUCGAACGAACGGACCCUUUGACUGAGGAGUGCUUGCACAAAUCAAGAUUAGGAUUUUCAGUUAGUGGCGAACGGGUGAGUAACACGUGGGUAACCUACCUAGAAGUGAGGGAUAACUAUUGGAAACGAUGGAUAAUACCUCAUAGGAAUAUGAUAUAUAAAGUAUCAUAUUUUAAAGAUGCGUUUGCAUCGCUACUAGAUGGGCCUGCGGUGCGUUAGCUAGUUGGUAAGGUAAGAGCUUACCAAGGCGACGAUGUAUAGCCGGACUGAGAGGUUGAACGGCCACACUGGGACUGANACACGGCCCAGACACCUACGGGUGGCAGCAGUAGGGAAUUUUUCGCAAUGGGGGCAACCCUGACGGAGCAAUGCCGCGUGAAUGAUGAAGGUUUUCGGAUCGUAAAAUUCUGUUGUAAGGGAAGAAAAGCUAUAUUAGGAAAUGAAUAUAGUCUGACGGUACCUGACGAGAAAGGGACGGCUA
Molecule: ribosomal RNA, 514 nt
Filed under: uncultured isopod gut bacterium
Lineage: Bacteria
Description: bacterial SSU rRNA
Rfam family: Bacterial small subunit ribosomal RNA
Source: RNAcentral